Phrynosoma platyrhinos (Desert horned lizard) is the source of this 75-nucleotide non-coding RNA. Lineage: Eukaryota; Metazoa; Chordata; Lepidosauria; Squamata; Phrynosomatidae. The record is from the annotation of a GenBank genome assembly.
GAGUCAGUGAAGUAUAGUGGUCUGAAUGUUGGACUAAAACUCUGGGAUAUCAGGGUUCAAAUCCCUGCUCAGUCA